Long non-coding RNA from Patiria miniata (bat star), 1021 nucleotides. RefSeq lists it as uncharacterized. The transcript has 3 exons. NCBI's taxonomy places the organism in Eukaryota, Metazoa, Echinodermata, Asteroidea, Valvatida, Asterinidae. The record is from RefSeq and is a predicted model, not a curated record.
GACUCGCCGCGCAGUCGGCUCACAGCGUGCUCGACGUGAAACAGCUGGGAUGCCCGCACACACCGCGCCGUUGAUGAACUACGUACGGUUUGUCUAUGGAGUGCUGCAGUAGAUGUGAGCUGCGUUGAAAAGCGUACCAAACCGAUAACCGCAUUGCACGCAGCAUGCUCAAUUGGCCACACUGUGUCCGUGACGGCGAUGUUAAUACCCGCAUUUGCUGCCCUCCUUGAGUACGGGGAACCUUUUGGGAUUGUUAAACCGGACAAACUCUCACGAAAAAUGCUCUGAGGCUGAGAUUCAUUGAAAUUCUCGAUUCGAAGACUUCAUUCCUGUGGAGAUACAGAACUUCAAGCCUAUGGAUUGUCAAAAAGAAAAGACAGAAUCCAUGUAGUACAAGGAGCUUCGAUCGAUCUUGAAGAGCUGCAAUAUACCCGUAUGCUAUUGGGAUGUGAGAUCCUUGCUCGCCUCCGGUAGAAAAGUCCUUCGGCUAGCCUGAUUGGAAAACUGGUCGUCAUCCGUCCCUGGAAUUUGGAGAGAACAGCCCUGGACUUUUGUUGGUACUGCGAGUGGUGGAUGGAAUGAGGAUGAAAUUACGAGGAAUGCAUACAGAGCGGGCUGUUGCAACCAGAACCAUGGGACAUACGUCGGCAGCCUGCCCCGGGAAAAUGCGCCGAUUGACAUCAACCGUGGCUUUUUGUCUCCUGAACUGUUUAAUUCCAGUGGCCUUUUCUCAAGGUAAGUUCAGUAACAAGAUCAUAAAAUGGCAAUAUUCUUCUCAUUUUCUCCCACCCAGUAAGCAGGCAUAAUCACAUUUUCGUUCAGCUAUAGCCAGGCUCAGCUGACUAGUUGGUUGAAAUGGUUCGGCGCGUGUUGGGAUUGUUCUUCCCCGAGGGCAAACAAACUCGGUUUGACGCAGUUCGAGUUUUGAUAUCGUCAUGGAAAAAAAUUGCUUCGGAAUCCGAAAGGAUGAAAGCUUAUUCAACGAGAAAAACAGCUGAUCGCCGGGAGUGGAUGAAGGAAG